CACCGGCAGCUCAAGUGGUGGUCACGUUUAUUGGGCUUAAAGCGUUCGUAGUCUGCCAAGCAAGUCCCCUGUGAAAUCCAACCGCUCAACGGUUGGGCUUGCAGAGGAUACUACAUGGCUAGAGGCCGGGAGAGGAGUGAGGUAUUCCAGGGGUACCGGUGAAAUGGUAUAAUCCUUGGAAGACCACCAGUGGCGAAGGCGUCACUCUGGAACGGGCCUGACGAUGAGGGACGAAAGCUAGGGGAGCGAACCGGAUUAGAUACCCGGGUAGUCCUAGCCGUAAACGAUGCUGACUGAGUAUUGCCGAAGCCUCGAGCUCCGGCAGUGCUGUAGGGAAACUGUCAAGUCAGCCGCCUGGGGAGUAUGGUCGCAAGACUGAAACUUAAAGGAAUUGGCGGGGAGCACCACAAGGGGUGAUGCUGCGGUUC
Molecule: ribosomal RNA, 428 nt
Filed under: uncultured archaeon
Lineage: Archaea
Description: bacterial SSU rRNA
Rfam family: Archaeal small subunit ribosomal RNA
Source: RNAcentral